CAACACAUGCAAGUCGAGGGGUAACAGGGAAAAGCUUGCUUUUCCGCUGACGACCGGCGCACGGGUGCGUAACGCGUAUGCAACCUACCUCUUACUGGGGUAUAGCCCAGAGAAAUUUGGAUUAAUCCCCCAUAGUACCAUUUAAUCGCAUGGUUGAAUGGUUAAAGGUUACGGUAAGAGAUGGGCAUGCGUCCCAUUAGUUAGUUGGUGAGGUAAUGGCUCACCAAGACUCCGAUGGGUAGGGGUUCUGAGAGGAUGAUCCCCCACACUGGUACUGAGACACGGACCAGACUCCUACGGGAGGCAGCAGUGAGGAAUAUUGCGCAAUGGACGAAAGUCUGACGCAGCCAUGCCGCGUGCAGGAUGACGGCGCUACGCGUUGUAAACUGCUUUUAUUUACAAAGAAACCUCGGGACGUGUCCCGAGCUGACGGUAGUAUUUGAAUAAGCACCGGCUAACUCCGUGCCAGCAGCCGCGGUAAUACGGAGGGUGCAAGCGUUAUCCGGAUUUAUUGGGUUUAAAGGGUCCGUAGGCGGAUGAUUAAGUCAGUGGUGAAAGCCCACAGCUCAACUGUGGAACUGCCAUUGAUACUGAUCAUCUUGAGUACAUUUGAAGUUGGCGGAAUAGGUCAUGUAGCGGUGAAAUGCU
Molecule: ribosomal RNA, 648 nt
Filed under: uncultured bacterium
Lineage: Bacteria
Description: bacterial SSU rRNA
Rfam family: Bacterial small subunit ribosomal RNA
Source: RNAcentral